This is an RNA transcript of Dermochelys coriacea (leatherback sea turtle), 3111 nucleotides long. It is a transcript of the gene named P2Y purinoceptor 8-like, with no coding region annotated. The transcript is spliced from 3 exons. NCBI's taxonomy places the organism in Eukaryota, Metazoa, Chordata, Testudines, Dermochelyidae. The record is from RefSeq and is a predicted model, not a curated record.
UAUUACAAAAUCCACAGUGGGGAAAGAUAUCUUUCACAAUGAAUCAAGCAUUUGUCAUACACCGUGAAUAUUUGCCAGGGCUACUAUUGGCAUCCCAAUGCACCAUAAAGUAAUGAAUAAAUUUAGAUUAGAAAGAGGAUUUUUCAUUUUAUGUCUGGGGAGGAAACAAUGUUUAUUCUUUUAGGACAUAUUAUUGAGUUGUUGUGAUCUAUGUGUCAAAAAGUCAAAACUAUGAAGAAGGAAGUAGGUGUUGCAAUACAGUGUGCACGUUUACUAUUGAACCACUUGCAGAAAAUAUGUGGUCAGUCAGACUGCACAGCUUCAGAUUAUCGGAUGUGGAUGAGGAAUCAGUAGAAACCAGUACAGUGAGUUAAAAGCUGACUUUUUAAUUAAUCCCACUUUGGAAGGAAAUGGAAAUGGUCUAAUCUCUACCAUCUCGAGAGUCUUCUUUUGUGGGAAAAGGUGCCUGAAGCUUUUCCAUUUGUCCCAAUCCAGGAAAGAUCACUGAAUCUAUCUCACUAUCAUGGGAAAACUGCCAAAUGGCACCAUAGAGAUGCUUAAGAACCAAAUGCUGCAGACCACUUUGCCUGCCCUCUACUUGUUCAUCUUCAUCCUCAGCAUUCCCCUCAAUUCUAUCUCCUUAUGGUUCCUUUGCCGCCAUUCAAGGCCUUGGACUCCCACCAUCAUGUUUUCCAUUAACCUGACAAUCACGGACUUGCUAUACAGCAUACUCCUCCCUUUUCAAGUUGUCUACCACUUACGGGGAAAUGACUGGCCCUUUGGACAGGUUCUGUGCCGCAUCGUAACUGUGCUAUUCUAUGCAAACAUGCACUGUUCCGUUUUAACCAUGACGAGCAUCAGCAUAGAGCGCUACCUGGGAAUUGUUCACCCGCUGAAGCACAGGGCCAUGAGACCCAUUAGAACAGCUCUGCUGACCUGCAUCAUCGUUUGGAUAUUUGUUUUACUGCUGCACUUCCCACUCAUGAAGACAGAGCUAACCUUCCAGGUAGAGGAGCUGCAGAUAACCACUUGUUUUGAUAUAUUGCCCAAAGCUAUGUUUCCUUCAAGAAAUCAUUUCAUUGCUUAUUUUGGCUCUCAAGUUCUUCUGUGCUUUUUCCUACCUUUGCUAAUAAUGGCAUUCUGCUACACCUUAGUUAUUCGAACUCUUCUUAACUCCCCUCCCACACAACUAAGGGAAAUUAAGAAGCAGACAAUUUAUCUGAUAAUAGUGUUGCUUACAGUCUUUAUAGUGUGUUACAUGCCCAAUAUUGUGAUAUCAAUCAUCCAUUUCAUCUAUAGUACCCAAAAUAAGACUGCUUAUGUGGAAUAUAAGCUGUCUCUGGCUUUGAAUAGCCUUAAUUGUUGCUUCGAUCCAUUUGUUUAUUUUUUUGGUUCCAAAGAGUUUCGACGAAAGAUACAGAAGAAACUCUGCAGAUGCAUGCCUGAUAUAUUCAGUGAAACUGUCACCAUCUUUUCAGAACAAGAUGUGCCAAUAACAUCCAGAGAACAUGCGCCACAUAAUUAAAAAAUGUAUUUGUUCUGGAACAGAUUAUAUUAGUCAUUGCACCGAAUCAUCAUCCAGAGAGUUUAGAAAUUGUUCUAUUUUAGAACACAGAAUGUCAAGAGAUACAGAAAAGUACACCAGGCAAUAUAUUGCCACAACUUAUUCUGGAAACAAACCAGGCACUCAGGAAGGCUCAACAUGCAUGAAAAAAGGCAUCUCUCUUAGCUUGCUCAGAACAAUGCAUUAUGGGACGUAAACUACUAUAAAUUAGGAACACAAGAAAUGUGUCAGUGCCAGGUACCUGCACUCCCUUGGAAUGUGUUUCUGGAACAUUUUCUAAAACCUGUUUCCCAGUUCAGCAUUUCUAAAGUAAAUAAUUGACAGCAAUAAAAUAAACACCACGUUUGUGAGGGGCAGAGGAAUAGCUGAACCUAAAAUGAUGCACAUCCCUUGACUUAGGAGUAAGCAAAGACUGGUGAUUAGCAUCUGUAAUAGGGGAAAAGCCAAAAGACAUGAAUACAAGGAUUAAUCUGGUCAUGCAAAUUUUAUUUCCUCUUUAUCAGUAUUUACUUGACUGGCAUAUUCAGUCUUAAAGCAUAAAGCUUAUGCUCCUUUUUCACUGACACUGCUUUGACAGGCCAUUUAUAGACAUUUUACUAUGCAAUGUAUUAUACCUCACUUAUGUGGCGAGACCCAGCAAAGAAGAGAACCCACCCCCAGCAGCCUACUGCUACAAACCUUUCUGGUUUCAGAGACUGGUCUUGUAUAACCUAACCCAAACCCAAACCCAUACCCAUGCUGCUGUCAUGGAUUGGCUGUAAGGAUAUGUCUACACUGCAGUUAGACCCCUGUGACUGGCCGAUGCCAGCUGAUUCAGGUUUGCUGGGCUCAGGCUAAGGGGCUAUUUAAUUGUGGUAUAGACAUUCCGGCUCAGGUUGCAGCCCAGACUCCAGGACUCUGCGAGGUUAGAUGGUCCCAGAGCGCGGGCUACAGCCUGAACCUGAACAUCACCACUACAAUUAAACUACCCCAUAGCCUGAGUAACAGGCCAGCUGUGGAUUUUUAAUUGCAGUGUAGACAUAUCCUAAAUUCCCCUUCCCUUGAUGUUAUGCAGCAGCAACAAGAGCAGCUCAGGGUCAGGGUGGGGAAGGUCUCUUGUCAGGCAGAGCUUGUCUCAGGGGAGUUCUGAGCAGUGAUCUGCAGCUGAAGUGCUGUUAAAAUUCAAAGGAAGCAGAUUUGCAAGUGAGACUUCUCUCCUUAGAAGCUCUGCAGCUGAGGAAGGCACCUGUCAUGCAGAGUUCCUGAGCUCCUCCUAUGCAGCAUCUCUGCCCUGAAAGGCUGAGUGCCUCCUGCUCCUACCACUUCUCCAUAUAUUUUAUUUUAUUUCCUCACUUGUUUUCUGCCCCCUCCCCCCAAACUAUUCCAUCAGGCUUGCUGGCUGUCCAUAUAAAUUGUACAAAAAGGAAACUAUGCAGCAGUGUAACCCUGUGGGCUAAUGCACUGUCCCGUGGACCAAAGAAUACUUUCCAUUCACAGGAUUUUGGUCCUUUUUCUCCUGGGCUUUGGUUUUAUUUCUUCAAAAAUAAAGCUGUUUAACACAUGCUCAA